RNAcentral lists this ribosomal RNA (492 nucleotides) under uncultured bacterium. Its description in RNAcentral is "partial 16S ribosomal RNA". It matches the Rfam family "Bacterial small subunit ribosomal RNA", at positions 29 to 507 of the family's 1533-position model. The record is from RNAcentral.
AGUGAACGCUGGCGGUAGGCCUAACACAUGCAAGUCGAACGGCAGCACAGUAAGAGCUUGCUCUUACGGGUGGCGAGUGGCGGACGGGUGAGGGACACAUAGGAAUCUACUUUUUCGUGGGGGAUAACGUAGGGAAACUUACGCUAAUACCGCAUACGACCUACGGGUGAAAGCAGGGGAUCUUAGGACCUUGCGCGAUAGAAUGAGCCGAUGUCGGAUUAGCUAGUUGGCGGGGUAAAGGCCCACCAAGGCGACGAUCCGUAGCUGGUCUGAGAGGAUGAUCAGCCACACUGGAACUGAGACACGGUCCAGACUCCUACGGGAGGCAGCAGUGGGGAAUAUUGGACAAUGGGCGCAAGCCUGAUCCAGCCAUACCGCGUGGGUGAAGAAGGCCUUCGGGUUGUAAAGCCCUUUUGUUGGGAAAGAAAAGCAGCAGGUUAAUACCCCGCUGUUCUGACGGUACCCAAAGAAUAAGCACCGGCUAACUUCGUG